RNAcentral lists this non-coding RNA (24 nucleotides) under Rattus norvegicus (Norway rat). Lineage: Eukaryota; Metazoa; Chordata; Mammalia; Rodentia; Muridae. The record is from RNAcentral.
UGCAACAAGGUUGCCCCGUGGAGU